AGUGAACGCUGGCGGUAGGCCUAACACAUGCAAGUCGAACGGCAGCACAGUAAGAGCUUGCUCUUACGGGUGGCGAGUGGCGGACGGGUGAGGUAUACAUCGGAAUCUACUUUUUCGUGGGGGAUAACGUAGGGAAACUUACGCUAAUACCGCAUACGACCUACGGGUGAAAGCAGGGGAUCUUCGGACCUUGCGCGAUUGAAUGAGCCGAUGUCGGAUUAGCUAGUUGGCGGGGUAAAGGCCCACCAAGGCGACGAUCCGUAGCUGGUCUGAGAGGAUGAUCAGCCACACUGGAACUGAGACACGGUACAGACUCCUACGGGAGGCAGCAGUGGGGAAUAUUGGACAAUGGGCGCAAGCCUGAUCCAGCCAUACCGCGUGGGUGAAGAAGGCCUUCGGGUUGUAAAGCCCUUUUGUUGGGAAAGAAAAGCAGCAGGUUAAUACCCCGCUGUUCUGACGGUACCCAAAGAAUAAGCACCGGCUAACUUCGUG
Molecule: ribosomal RNA, 492 nt
Filed under: uncultured bacterium
Lineage: Bacteria
Description: partial 16S ribosomal RNA
Rfam family: Bacterial small subunit ribosomal RNA
Source: RNAcentral